GGCCGCGUGGCCUAAUGGCUAAGGCGCUAGAUUUCGGUUCUCCAACAACCAACUCUCUAGAGAUUCCAGGUUCGACUCCUGGCGUGGUCG
This 90-nucleotide transfer RNA is filed under the name Fusarium equiseti. RNAcentral describes it as "tRNA-Arg". It matches the Rfam family "tRNA". Rfam says of the family: Transfer RNA (tRNA) molecules are approximately 80 nucleotides in length. Their secondary structure includes four short double-helical elements and three loops (D, anti-codon, and T loops). Further hydrogen bonds mediate the characteristic L-shaped molecular structure. tRNAs have two regions of fundamental functional importance: the anti-codon, which is responsible for specific mRNA codon recognition, and the 3' end, to which the tRNAs corresponding amino acid is attached (by aminoacyl-tRNA synthetases). tRNAs cope with the degeneracy of the genetic code in two manners: having more than one tRNA (with a specific anti-codon) for a particular amino acid; and 'wobble' base-pairing, i.e. permitting non-standard base-pairing at the 3rd anti-codon position. The record is from RNAcentral. Lineage: Eukaryota; Fungi; Ascomycota; Sordariomycetes; Hypocreales; Nectriaceae.